Long non-coding RNA from Nematostella vectensis (starlet sea anemone), 3268 nucleotides. RefSeq lists it as uncharacterized. The record is from RefSeq and is a predicted model, not a curated record. NCBI's taxonomy places the organism in Eukaryota, Metazoa, Cnidaria, Anthozoa, Actiniaria, Edwardsiidae. The transcript is spliced from 3 exons.
GAUAGAAACUAGUAAUAAUAGUCAAAAAACUCGGCUAGACUAGCUCUGAUGUCAUUGAUAACUAUCUUUUUUCUGUUCCCUUUCUGUUCUAACGUUUCAAUUUUAUCGCUAAUACCCGUUUUUUAUCUUUCGGUAAAAAUAAGGGAGAGGCUCUUUCCCAAGAGCAGCGAACACCAACCUGUUGAACGUAUAGCAACCUGCUGUCAAGGCGGCUAAAUUUAGGUGGGUUCCCAUGGGAACCGUGACAGGCAUCCAAUCAGCAUGUGGAUAGCGAGAACUACGUUGACAGGUGCCAACGUAUUUUUCUCUGCUGAUCUUUACCGCGAUUGGAUUGAAUAAUUUGCAAGGCAGGUGAUACCAAGGGAAGCCUACCACGUGCCUAGCGACCGCCAGCUGGCUGUCAAUCACCCCUCGCCUCUUCUACAUACAAUUAAUUCGCCAUUUUUGCGAGCAUGAUCCGUUGCCGCGGUUGCCGGUGUUAGCGAGCGUUUUUUGGCGGGCUUUCUAGUCUCCCGCUCGCGAAUCCGCCGGCGUCUCAAACUUUGGCUGAAGCCGACGCCGCUAUAAUUACACCCGGUAGAAAAAAGUUAAAAACAAUAAAAAUACGUUCCUGGUUGUGUCUGGCGUUAAUUCGGAACCCGGUGAGUCGACAUUCCUAUCAGCCACCUAAUUUGUUCGCAGUAUUUCUCAUUCAAAUUUGCGGCUAUUAUCAUUUGGUGGAAGCCAUUAUCGUGUCACCUCAUUAUGCAUUCGCACUUCAGUGGGGCUCCGUUUUCGCUUGUGAUUGGCUGUUACCACCUGAAACAGAUGGUUCGCCGUGAUAUCGAGCCCGGAAGAUCUCACAGGAAUAAAUCCUUCAUUUGGGAAUGUUAGGAUCAGUUUUGACAGCUUAUACGCUUGUCCUUUAUAACCACUAUCGCACUAAUACUUAACCUGGAGACGAUCGAACCUACGCAAUCUCUUCAAAACAGAACACUCUACUCCAGCCUCUAUGAUAUAUUUACUCUGUUUGAAUUAGGCCCCGUUUCGUUUAUAGUUGCCUUUUCGAAUAACUUUCAUUAACUUUUGCGUGCGAGAUGCAACACCGAGUGUGGUACAUUUAUAAAAGUUAAUCAAGAGUUCGCGAAUGGGGACUCGACCAGUUUGAACAGGUAUUCAGUAUUAAGCCGGUAUCCUAGUUUUAGGACGAUAAACAAUUAUUUAAAAGUAAGCCAUACAAGACUGAGUUUAGAUCGAUGGUGGAAUUCUUAUUUAAAAUACACUUUUCAAAACCUCCCAUAGCAUACAUAAAUUUGAUGAAAACUUUCAAAAACUUUUACAAAAGCUAGAUAAUCUAACUAAACCGAUAAAUAUUCGAUGUACACUUUUUGAUUUUAUACAUAUGUCAGGGAAUAUUGUUUGGUAUUUCCCUCUGUGGAAUGUGAAUAUCCAUUGAUAUCGUGCAGUUCUCAAGCUAGGAGAUUAACUUUUAAUUUCUAUAAAAUUGAGCGGUAUUUUGUGUUGUGUGUAUUUCUGAUUUUGUUGCGUGUAACGUGUUUGGCCUCCCGGCUCACGCAAGACUCGAUGGGUUCUUCGGGAGGGCACGGAAUGAGAGUUUGCCGUUUCGCCUAAGGCUAACUACCGGAAACUUCUUGCCCGAAAGACAAGCACAAAACUGUUAUUACAGAUUUUACUAUCUUAAAGCUCUAAAACAUUUGUUAUUAAUGAAUUUUGGGGCUCGUCAGUUUUAUGUUUGAAUUAUUGGGAAUCAAGGAAGAGUAUUUGAAAAGUUUUUGUUUUCUUUUGCUGUCACAUUUGACGUUUUUGUUUGCUAGCGGGUUGUAACUUGGUGUUGUAUUGAAGUUGAAGUGAAGGCAAAUUUUCCAAGCUGGUAUAUCUAUAUUCAAAUCUCGUUAAAGAGUACACUCGUUAAGCUGUUACUAUUUCCUAGCGAAGCUUGGGCGGCGAGGUUUCAACUUUCUUGACAGGGGUAAAAGUUUUUAUAACUUCUUCAAACCUUCGAUAAGGAAGGAAUGAUGCAACAGAAAAUGUAAAACAUUAGAACUGAGUGUAUGAGAAUAAAUUAAAACCACGUACAGCGCUUACAAGGACUGUAAAUCCGUAGGUUUCGUGAUAACUCUGUUUAUUUGUUCACUGGAAGACGUUGUUUUCAAUUGACUUACUUUCAUAGAGUAGUAUAAGGGUUUCUCCUAGCAACGAAACACGUAUAACUACACUAAAACACUGAUGUCAUUGCAUAAAAGGUGGUCUAAAAUAAGCAAGGUUUUGAUUUUAGCUUAUCCCCGAGAACUGCCCUUCGUCAACAUUAUUGCGUGAUAGGUGGGAGGAUUUCCCACUUAUUUCCUGUGGAAUUUGUGAAUUUCGGUGUAUUUCACAAGGAUGACGCACUCCCCGGUCAGAUUUAGAAGCAGAGGCGAGGAUGGAAUCUGAUCGCAGCCUAGCAACGAACUCUACGAAAUGGGCAAUAUGAUUCAUAAUUGGAUUAAAACUGCUUCGGACCAACUACACCAAUACUUCUCUAUGAUUGUGGGGAAGCAGACCCAGAAUGGAAUGUUUAUGCUGUCGUGCGGGUUGAAAUUUUCCCAUAGCUCAUCACAAGUGACCAACCUGUCUUUAUCACCACGCGGUAUGCAAUAAUAAUAAGACGCGUAGCGUGACCGAACAUGUUGCACCGAUCAAGACCAUGAAACAAUACGCUACCUGCAGUACUUUUGAUUCGCACAGUCACUACCUGCCUUGUCAAACAAACCGGUCACCCUGUGCUAUCAUCGACGGUGUAAACAAGGCGCGGGAAUGACUGUUGUUUGGAUUCUUUGGAUUUGAUUACUCAGCAGUACAGCUGUUUGCUUCUCGUAAGAUGCUGACCUUUUGCGCAAUAAGACAUACUUAUUUUGGGGGGACUGAGUAAAUAACUCUUUUUUAAAGGCCUGUUUUUUUAAAAUAACGUCCAGCAUAAGAUUUCACCAAAAUUUAAGAACAUGCUAAAAACAUGUCAAGGCAGUAACAUUUUAUUUUACAGAGUCAUAUUAUUGUGUUCAUAAUAGCAACCAUAAAUAUCAUUGUUAUUGAUCAUGUAUAUGAUUCUCUUUCUAAUAAAUUUUGUAGUAUCAUAAGUUUAUAAACUAAAAUUUUAAGAACAUCCUAAAGAACGUUCGACGUUCUUAUAAAAGAGUGUACUCGAACAUCAAGAGUUCCCGUAAAGCUGUUGACACGAGAAUUCCCUGUAGUUUCGUUGUUUAUUCUGUCGUAAAAAAUGAAACACCUGUCA